Molecule: long non-coding RNA, 756 nt
Organism: Oncorhynchus tshawytscha (Chinook salmon)
Lineage: Eukaryota; Metazoa; Chordata; Actinopteri; Salmoniformes; Salmonidae
Source: Ensembl
CUAAUGUGACCCCUGAAGGAGAAAGGGCCGAGAAAGACGGCUCCGGAGAGAUGUUCAGCGAAAGCUCCCCAAGUGGGUCAGAUAUUAUAGGGUCGGUGUCGGAAAGCACCAUGGAGACUGUGUCAGAAGGUACGGGAGAGGAGGGGGAGAUUCUGAAGGAACACCUCCCCCUACGUAAAAGAAACGCUGAAGAGCUCUCUGACCCCGAACAGGGAAAUGGGGGGAUAAGUGGCAGCACGGGCCCUCCAUUUGGAGUGGCUCCAAUUUUAACAAGAACGACGGUGUUGCCAUUUUAAUCAAGACCCCACAGGUGGUGGUGAAGGGGAGCACGGUGGUGGAUCGGGAACCAGUAUGUCCAGUGCGCGGGCUCGCUAUAGGUGAGCCCACAACGGUUUGGCGCAACGUGGCCCACCCUGCUCUCCUGAAUCGGCAUCGGGACCUGUCCUGGAUGGUCGCCCACGAGAUCCUCCCGGUCAGGGCCGUUAUGCACUCACGGGGCAUGGCGAGGACAUCCGCGUGCCCCCGACCAGGCUGCGGCCAAGAAGAGUCGGUGAGGCACAUGCUCUGGGAGUGCAGAGCCGCCAGGGACCUGUGGAAGGAAGCAGGCCCCCUGAUCACCUCGUGUCUGCCAGCAGGGGAGGACCUAACACCUCAGCUCGUGCUGUAUGGGGUGGGCCGAAGGCCCAUUUCAUCGAAGACCUUCACCAAGCUCUGGCCCACCCUCACGUGCCUGAAGGAAGCACUGUGGUCCUCCCG